Molecule: ribosomal RNA, 325 nt
Filed under: Pseudomonas aeruginosa
Lineage: Bacteria; Pseudomonadati; Pseudomonadota; Gammaproteobacteria; Pseudomonadales; Pseudomonadaceae
Description: partial 23S ribosomal RNA
Rfam family: Bacterial large subunit ribosomal RNA
Source: RNAcentral
UAUCCAGGCAAAUCCGGAUAAUCAAGGCUGAGGUGUGAUGACGAGGUACUACGGUGCUGAAGUAACAAAUGCCCUGCUUCCAGGAAAAGCCUCUAAGCAUCAGGUAACAUUAAAUCGUACCCCAAACCGACACAGGUGGUCAGGUAGAGAAUACCAAGGCGCUUGAGAGAACUCGGGUGAAGGAACUAGGCAAAAUGGUGCCGUAACUUCGGGAGAAGGCACGCUGGUGUGUAGGUGAAGUCCCUGCGGAUGGAGCUGAGACCAGUCGAAGAUACCAGCUGGCUGCAACUGUUUAUUAAAAACACAGCACUGUGCAAACACGAAA